This 460-nucleotide ribosomal RNA is filed under the name uncultured bacterium. Its description in RNAcentral is "partial 16S ribosomal RNA". It matches the Rfam family "Bacterial small subunit ribosomal RNA", at positions 338 to 795 of the family's 1533-position model. The record is from RNAcentral.
CCUACGGGAGGCUGCAGUGAGGAAUAUUGGUCAAUGGCCGGAAGGCUGAACCAGCCAAGUCGCGUGAGGGAGGAAGGUGCAGUGCGUCGUAGACCUCUUUUGCCGGGGAACAAAAGGCGGGACUCGUCCGGUCUUGUAUGUACCCGAUGAAUAAGCAUCGGCUAACUCCGUGCCAGCAGCCGCGGUAAUACGGAGGAUGCGAGCGUUAUCCGGCUUUAUUGGGUUUAAAGGGUGGGUAGGCGGGCUUUUAAGUCAGCGGGGAAAGUCGGGGGAUCAACCCUAGAAUGGCCGUUGAAACUGGGGGGCUUGAGUAUGUCGGAGGCAGGCGGAAUGCGCGGUGUAGCGGUGAAAUGCAUAGAUAUCACGCAGAACCCCGAUUGCGAAGGCAGCGUGCCGAGCCAUGACUGACGCUGAGGCACGAAAGCGCGGGUAGCGAACAGGAUUAGAUACCCUAGUAGUC